Molecule: ribosomal RNA, 253 nt
Filed under: uncultured bacterium
Lineage: Bacteria
Description: partial 16S ribosomal RNA
Rfam family: Bacterial small subunit ribosomal RNA
Source: RNAcentral
UACGUAGGGGGCAAGCGUUGUCCGGAAUCAUUGGGCGUAAAGCGCGUGUAGGCGGCCCGAUAAGUCCGCUGUGAAAGUCCAGGGCUCAACCCUGGGAUGCCGGUGGAUACUGUCGGGCUCGAGUCCGGAAGAGGCGAGUGGAAUUCCUGGUGUAGCGGUGAAAUGCGCAGAUAUCAGGAGGAACACCGGUGGCGAAGGCGGGUCUCUGGGCCGAUACUGACGCUGAGGAGCGAAAGCAUGGGUAGCGAACAGG